UAGGGAAUCUUCCACAAUGGGCGCAAGUCUGAUGGAGCAACGCCGCGUGAGUGAAGAAGGUCUUCGGAUCGUAAAACUCUGUUGUUAGAGAAGAACACGAGUGAGAGUAACUGUUCUUGUAUUGACGGUAUCUAACCAGAAAGCCACGGCUAACUACGUGCCAG
This 164-nucleotide ribosomal RNA is filed under the name uncultured bacterium. RNAcentral's name for it is "partial 16S rRNA". It matches the Rfam family "Bacterial small subunit ribosomal RNA", at positions 355 to 511 of the family's 1533-position model. The record is from RNAcentral.